UACAGAGGGUGCGAGCGUUAAUCGGAAUUACUGGGCGUAAAGGGCUCGUAGGCGGCCAACUAAGUCAGACGUGAAAUCCCUCAGCUUAACUGGGGAACUGCGUCUGAUACUGGAUGGCUUGAGAUUGGGAGAGGGAUGCGGAAUUCCAGGUGUAGCGGUGAAAUGCGUAGAUAUCCGAAAGAACACCGGUGGCGAAGGCGGCGACCUGGGCCUGAACUGACGCUGAGGAGCGAAAGCUAGGGGAGCAAACAGG
RNAcentral lists this ribosomal RNA (253 nucleotides) under uncultured bacterium. Its description in RNAcentral is "partial 16S ribosomal RNA". It matches the Rfam family "Bacterial small subunit ribosomal RNA", at positions 524 to 776 of the family's 1533-position model. The record is from RNAcentral.